This 719-nucleotide ribosomal RNA is filed under the name Natrialba chahannaoensis. RNAcentral describes it as "bacterial SSU rRNA". It matches the Rfam family "Archaeal small subunit ribosomal RNA", at positions 56 to 776 of the family's 1478-position model. The record is from RNAcentral. Lineage: Archaea; Methanobacteriati; Methanobacteriota; Halobacteria; Halobacteriales; Natrialbaceae.
AGUUGUACGAGUUCAGACUCGUAGCAGAUAGCUCAGUAACACGUGGGCAAACUACCCUAUAGAUCCAGACAACCUCGGGAAACUGAGGCUAAUCCGGAAUAGGGCUCUCAUCCUGGAGUGGAGAGAGCCUGAAACGCUCCGGCGCUAUAGGAUGUGGCUGCGGCCGAUUAGGUAGACGGUGGGGUAACGGCCCACCGUGCCAGUAAUCGGUACGGGUUGUGAGAGCAAGAGCCCGGAGACGGUAUCUGAGACAAGAUACCGGGCCCUACGGGGCGCAGCAGGCGCGAAACCUUUACACUGCACGCCAGUGCGAUAAGGGGACUCCAAGUGCGAGGGCAUAUAGUCCUCGCUUUUUGCGACCGUAAGGUGGUCGCGGAAUAAGUGCUGGGCAAGACCGGUGCCAGCCGCCGCGGUAAUACCGGCAGCACGAGUGAUGACCGCUGUUAUUGGGCCUAAAGCGUCCGUAGCUGGCCGCGCAAGUCUAUCGGGAAAUCUCUCCGCUUAACGGAGAGGCGUCCGGUGGAAACUGUGUGGCUUGGGACCGGAAGACCAGAGGGGUACGUCUGGGGUAGGAGUGAAAUCCCGUAAUCCUGGACGGACCACCGGUGGCGAAAGCGCCUCUGGAAGACGGAUCCGACGGUGAGGGACGAAAGCUCGGGUCACGAACCGGAUUAGAUACCCGGGUAGUCCGAGCUGUAAACGAUGUCUGCUAGGUGUGA